UGGAAACUUAUGUCUUCCUGUUUCUUCUGUGGGAAUGGUCAUGAAUAAUCAAAAACCGGGUGCUGUAGCCUUACAGUCCAUCUCCAGAACAAACUCUCCGUUGAUUACCAAUCAGUCAAACUUGACUGCCUCUGGGCAAAUGCCAAAUGUAAAGGUUCAACCAGCUGAUCAGUCAACGAAAAUGAACUAUCAGUCCCAGCAUUCACUGGGAGAUAACCAUUUAUCUUCCUAUCAGCAUCAACAUUCUCAACAGCCACCUCAGCAGUUCCAGGAGCAACA
Molecule: unclassified non-coding RNA, 279 nt
Filed under: Hevea brasiliensis (rubber tree)
Lineage: Eukaryota; Viridiplantae; Streptophyta; Magnoliopsida; Malpighiales; Euphorbiaceae
Source: RNAcentral